ACCGUGCAAAGGUAGCAUAAUCAUUAGUUUUUUAAUUGAAAGCUGGAAUGAACGGUUGGACGAGAAAAUAACUGUCUCAAUUUAAUUGAAUGUAGAAUUUUAUUUAUAAGUAAAAAAGCUUAUAUGUAUUUAAAAGACGAGAAGACCCUAUAGAGUUUUAUAAUUUUUUAUAUUAAAGAAUUUUAGUAUGUUUAUAUUUUUGAUAUAAAAAAUUAUUUUGCUGGGGCAGCAGAAAAAUUAAAUAAACUUUUUUUUAUAUUUUUACAUUGAUUUAUGGUUUAAUGAUCCAUUUUUUAUGAUUAUAAGAUUAAAUUACCUUAGGGAUAACAGCGUAAUUUUUUUUUAGAGUUCUUAUCGAAAAAAGAGUUU
RNAcentral lists this ribosomal RNA (369 nucleotides) under Anomala corpulenta. Its description in RNAcentral is "partial 16S ribosomal RNA". Lineage: Eukaryota; Metazoa; Arthropoda; Insecta; Coleoptera; Scarabaeidae. The record is from RNAcentral.